Molecule: ribosomal RNA, 497 nt
Filed under: uncultured bacterium
Lineage: Bacteria
Description: partial 16S ribosomal RNA
Rfam family: Bacterial small subunit ribosomal RNA
Source: RNAcentral
GAUGAACGCUGGCGGCGUGCCUAAUACAUGCAAGUCGAGCGAACAGACGAGGAGCUUGCUCCUCUGACGUUAGCGGCGGACGGGUGAGUAACACGUGGAUAACCUACCUAUAAGACUGGGAUAACUUCGGGAAACCGGAGCUAAUACCGGAUAAUAUAUUGAACCGCAUGGUUCAAUAGUGAAAGACGGUUUUGCUGUCACUUAUAGAUGGAUCCGCGCCGCAUUAGCUAGUUGGUAAGGUAACGGCUUACCAAGGUAACGAUGCGUAGCCGACCUGAGAGGGGGAUAGGCCACACUGGAAGUGAGACAGGCACCAGACUCCUAAGGGAGGCAGCAGUAGGGAACCUUCCGCAAUGGGCGAAAGCCUGACGGAGCAACGCCGCGUGAGUGAUGAAGGUCUUCGGAUCGUAAAACUCUGUUAUUAGGGAAGAACAAAUGUGUAAGUAACUAUGCACGUCUUGACGGUACCUAAUCAGAAAGCCACGGCUAACUACGUG